This 319-nucleotide ribosomal RNA is filed under the name uncultured eukaryote. Its description in RNAcentral is "partial 18S ribosomal RNA". It matches the Rfam family "Eukaryotic small subunit ribosomal RNA", at positions 1470 to 1796 of the family's 1831-position model. The record is from RNAcentral.
CCCUUAGAUGUUCUGGGCAGCACGCGCGCUACAAUGGUCUUCGCAAACGGAUGCAUUCUCGAAGGAGAAUGCCAAUCUUGGAAUCUAUGCCUUGGUCGGGACAGUUGCUUGCAAUUUUUCGAAUCGAACCAGGAAUUCCUUGUAAUCGUGAUUCAUCACAUCACGAUGAAUACGUCCCUGCCCUUUGUACACACCGCCCGUCGCUCCUACCGAUCGAAGAGUUAGGUGAAUUGUUUUGAUCGAUAAGAUUUGACUAUGGUCAACUCUCGUUGUGAAAUUCUGUGAAUCUGACUGUUUAGAGGAAGGAAAAGUCGUAACA